Molecule: small nucleolar RNA, 127 nt
Organism: Peromyscus californicus insignis
Lineage: Eukaryota; Metazoa; Chordata; Mammalia; Rodentia; Cricetidae
Product: small nucleolar RNA SNORA68
Exons: 1
Source: RefSeq, a predicted model, not a curated record
CUCCCAGCCCAAGAACUGAUGCUGCCUGUAGUGGGUAUUUAAACAUCAAUGUGCACAGAAAAGGGAACCUAUCAUCUUUAGGGGGCUGUGAUGUGCCCCCCAGAGUGAAUCAGGAGGUUCCACAGUC